UACGUAGGGGGCAAGCGUUGUCCGGAAUCAUUGGGCGUAAAGAGCGUGUAGGCGGCCCGAUAAGUCCGCUGUGAAAGUCCAGGGCUCAACCCUGGGAUGCCGGUGGAUACUGUCGGGCUCGAAUCCGGAAGAGGUGAGUGGAAUUCCUGGUGUAGCGGUGAAAUGCGCAGAUAUCAGGAGGAACACCAAUGGCGAAGGCAGCUCACUGGGACGGUAUUGACGCUGAGACGCGAAAGCGUGGGGAGCAAACAGG
This 253-nucleotide ribosomal RNA is filed under the name uncultured bacterium. RNAcentral's name for it is "partial 16S ribosomal RNA". It matches the Rfam family "Bacterial small subunit ribosomal RNA", at positions 524 to 776 of the family's 1533-position model. The record is from RNAcentral.